CUGGUUGAUCCUGCCAGUAGUCAUAUGCUUGUCUCAAAGAUUAAGCCAUGCAUGUCUAAGUAUAAGUUCUGUACUGCGAAACUGUGAAUGGCUCAUUAUAACAGUUAUUAUUCCCUGGCCGGUCAGUGAUUCCUUGGAUACCCAUGGUAAUUCUAGAGCUAAUACAUGCUUAAAAACCCGACUUCUUGAAGGGUUGCGCUUAUUAGAUACCGAACCAACCCAGGCUCUGUCUGGUUUUCGUGGAUUCAUAGUGUUCUGGCGAAUCGACUCGCAAGAGUCGAUGAGGCUAUCAAGUUUCUGACCUAUCAGCUUCCGACGGUAGGAUAUUGGCCUACCGUGGCUUUGACGGGUAACGGAGAAUUAGGGUUCGAUUCCGGAGAGGGAGCCUGAGAAACGGCUACCACAUCUAAGGAAGGCAGCAGGCGCGUAAAUUACCCAAUCCUGACACAGGGAGGUAGUGACAAGAAAUAUCAAUAUAAGACGUUUCUGUCUUGUAAUUGGGAUGAGCGAAACAUAAACCGCUUCUCGAGUAUCAAUUGGAGGGCAAGUCUGGU
Molecule: ribosomal RNA, 554 nt
Filed under: uncultured eukaryote
Lineage: Eukaryota
Description: SSU rRNA
Rfam family: Eukaryotic small subunit ribosomal RNA
Source: RNAcentral